Molecule: ribosomal RNA, 464 nt
Filed under: uncultured Prosthecobacter sp.
Lineage: Bacteria; Pseudomonadati; Verrucomicrobiota; Verrucomicrobiia; Verrucomicrobiales; Verrucomicrobiaceae
Description: bacterial SSU rRNA
Rfam family: Bacterial small subunit ribosomal RNA
Source: RNAcentral
CCUACGGGGGGCUGCAGUCGAGAAUCUUUCACAAUGGGGGCAACCCUGAUGGAGCGACGCCGCGUGGAGGAUAAGGUCUUCGGAUUGUAAACUCCUGUCAUGUGUGAACAAGGUUGUCGUGUUAAUAGCAUGGCAAAUUGAUGGUAACACAAGAGGAAGAGACGGCUAACUCUGUGCCAGCAGCCGCGGUAAUACAGAGGUCUCAAGCGUUGUUCGGAAUCACUGGGCGUAAAGGGUGCGUAGGUGGCGUGGAAAGUCAGAUGUGAAAGCCCGGGGCUCAACCUCGGAAUUGCAUCCGAUACUACCAUGCUAGAGUACUGAAGAGGUGACUAGAAUUCUCGGUGUAGCAGUGAAAUGCGUAGAUAUCGAGAGGAAUACCAACGGCGAAGGCAGGUCACUGGGCAGUUACUGACACUGAGGCACGAAAGCCAGGGGAGCAAACGGGCUUAGAUACCCCGGUAGUC